Drosophila takahashii is the source of this 132-nucleotide non-coding RNA. The record is from RefSeq and is a predicted model, not a curated record. Lineage: Eukaryota; Metazoa; Arthropoda; Insecta; Diptera; Drosophilidae.
CCACCAGAACCUGAGAAACCUGGUCCAGAGGGAACUAUUCCUACACGUCCCCCUGUUGUUCGUCCGCCUAUACCACCAGGUCCUGUGGAGCCUGGUCCAGAGGGAAUUAUUCCUACACGUCCCCCUGUUGUU